This 289-nucleotide long non-coding RNA is filed under the name Prunus persica (peach). Its description in RNAcentral is "long non-coding RNA (PPER_LNC000019)". The record is from RNAcentral. Lineage: Eukaryota; Viridiplantae; Streptophyta; Magnoliopsida; Rosales; Rosaceae.
GCAAACAAAAUAAUCAAUUGUAAAUAUUUAGCAGCAUAAAAAGAAAAAAAUAGCUUGUUUGGUUUGAGUUUUUGUUUAUUUAUUUAUUUAUACAAAGUAGUUUCGAAAAGAGAUAUUAUUUUAUAUAAAAGAGAAAUAAGUUUUUUUUUUUAGUUAUUAAAAAGAAAGGAAUACAACACGAGAAAUAUGUUAACUUAAAUUUUUAUUUUUUUUAAAGUUUCUUUUAAUAGUAUAAUGCUCUUAAAAAUUAAGAACCGAUAUAAAAUUGCUUUAUCUUCUUCUUGUGGGG